UUAGGGGUUUCUGGUUUUUCAAGAAAUGAAUUUAAUUCAUACGUCUUAUUUAGAGUUUUAUUAUUUGUUUAUUUAUUUUUAUUUGGCGUUAAGAUUGGGAGGGAUUAGCUUCUUAUUUUAUUUUUAUAAUUUUUUGUUUUUUUAGUCUUGUGGGUUUUAUAGUGAUUUUCAAUUUGAUUAUGUUAAAAUUUUAUUUGUUUUGUUCUGUUAUUUUUGUUUAUUUAAUUAUUUAUUGAAAUGUAUUCUUUAUCUUUGGUUUAUGGUUAGUAAUUAUUGUAGAAUUAGUAAAUUUGUUGUUAGGUUGUUUUAUUUGUGCUAAUUUUCUUUGAGGAACUAGGCAAAUUUCAUGUCCGCCUGUUUAACAAAAACAUCUUUUCUCGUUAGUUUUUGAAGUAUGGCCUGCCCGCUGACUUUGGUGUUGAAGGGCCGCGGUAUUUUGACCGUGCAAAGGUAGCAUAGUCAUUAGUUCUUUAAUUGUGAUCUGGUAUGAAUGGCUUGACGAGGCAUGGGCUGUCUUAAUUUUGAAUUGUUUAUUGAAUUUGGUCUUUGAGUUAAAAUUCUUAGAUGUUUUUAUGGGACGAGAAGACCCUAUAGAGUUUAACAUUUGUUAUGGUCCCCUUUCUGUUUGUGAGGGUUCAUUGGGCCGUUUAAUAUGUUUUGUUGGGGUGAUGGGAGGGAUUAAUUUAA
Molecule: ribosomal RNA, 687 nt
Filed under: Reticulitermes sp. 8 SD-2015
Lineage: Eukaryota; Metazoa; Arthropoda; Insecta; Blattodea; Rhinotermitidae
Description: partial 16S ribosomal RNA
Rfam family: Archaeal large subunit ribosomal RNA (bases 346-508)
Source: RNAcentral